Molecule: long non-coding RNA, 1999 nt
Organism: Anthonomus grandis grandis
Lineage: Eukaryota; Metazoa; Arthropoda; Insecta; Coleoptera; Curculionidae
Exons: 4
Source: RefSeq, a predicted model, not a curated record
AAAAAGCCCAUUUCUAUUAGCCAAAAAGCUACGCCACUAUCUUUCGCUAGCACGAUGCGAUGCGUUCUUUAGACUUUGUCUAGCUAAGGAAAGGUACAGCACGUGUUGUUCGGCUUGGUUGCGCAGUAAAUUUGUUUACGCCGCUGCCAAAGCAACGGUAUCGAUCGCCCCGAUUUGCAUAUAAACAGUGCCGUUGCGUUAAUUCUUAUAUUUGUGUUCUGUGCUCUAAAAUUAAAAUUAAAAAAAGGCGCGCUACUGUCGCUAAUCGCGCGUUAUUAGGGGACAAAACUUGGCGCAGCUUUGAAACAGAUGGUGUACCUUUCCUUAGCUAGACAAACUUUACGUCGGAAGAAUCUUUACGUCGCGUCGGCAGGCCCCAGAACGGUCGGAAGGAGAACAUCACGAAAUGUGUAAGCGCGGGUCACUCCAGACGCCUCCUAACUUCCGUGCUCCCAUACAAGCACAGAACACAAAGAGGAAAAUAGAAAAAAAACAUAAAUGGGGAUUUGCGCCACGGGAAAGGUUCGGAUCGCGUCCACUUUGGCGCUAGUAACACUGUCCCAUUUUAUUAUGUUUUCUAUUUUGACUGACAGAUGGCAGCACUAUAUGCAAAAAAGUGUGCUUACUUUUCGUUUCCUGGUAGUUGGCUGGGAAUUACAGAAAACAUUUAGAAUUCAUAUUUUUGUGCGAAUUUAUGAUAUUUAUCCGCAUAAUAGAUCUUCUUUUUAUGUGAUUAGUGAUUAGUUUCUUAUUAUAUACUGUUGUGACAAUUUGUGUUGUGUUUUAUUAUUAAAAAAAAACAAACUAAAAUGACAUUAUAGAAUAGAUUAUCGUGCUGUAACCUGUGGUAAAUUUCCAGAUUAGGGUUGCAAUCUACAAAACUAUUAUUUGUUUAAUAAAGACCUAGUUUUCAGGUAAGAUUCUAUAUACUCUCUUUUAUUUUAAUAUUUAGGUUUUAAAAUUUUAGUUUCUCUAUAAAUAAUCAUGUUUUCUACUGCUCCACAGUCACACCCAAAAAAUGUUGUGUAGCUGGGUGUCUGAAUCAGGAUGGUAAGAGGCAUAGAUUUCCAAAAAAUGACCCAGAAAUAUACAAUGUAUGGAUUUCCAUUAUUAAUCCACCUAAUUAUCAUUGUUUAUCCUUGGAACAAAUCAACAAAUCUAUAAUCGUUUUUAUGUUUGCGAUUGUCACUUUAAAGAGUACUGCAAAGUGCCAACCAGUAAGAGAGGACUCAAAUGAGCAGCAAUACCUACUCUUAACAUUGAAGGGUAUGGUGCUUAUAACGCUAAGCUAUUAUUAAGCAAUAAAGGACAUAAUAAAUGGCAUAUAUUAUGCAAAAGAACCUAUCAGCCAAACUAAUGUGGUAGAAAAUAACUUAGAGGUACCUAUGGAAAUAGCUGAUGAGAAAUCCUCAUAUGCUUUAAAUCAAAAAGAUAUUUCAGAAAAUACCUCAUCUUUUAUGGAAAUAAUUGCUAUAAUAGAAAAUUCUAACAAUCAAAUAGAUAUUGAAAAAGUACCAUUACAAAUUGUACCUAAUGCCUCAAGGAAAAAGGAAUCUGCUAAGAAACGUCUUGAAAACAGAAGGUUUUCAUUCAAAAGUUUAAAUGUUCAUCGUUCCAUUGAGUUGACACCAAAGGCCAAAAAAUUAUAUACCAAAUUAACAUCUUGGAGGAGUGAAAUAUAUGGAAUGGAAAAAAAAAUUAAAUCUUACAAAGAGAGAAUAGGUAUUGCCGAAAAAUAUGUCAAUUCUAGAGAUUUUAAAAACCUCUUAAAACAUAUUAAUAGUUCUACUUACAAGUUCAUUAUAAAAUAAUAUAUAUUAUUAUAUCUAUCUUCACCAAUAAUAAAUUAUUAUUUGUGAAAUCACAGAAACGUACAUGUAUCAGAGACAACUGUUUUUCCUGCAUGUAUGUUAUUUGGUACUAUGUUAUGUAUUUGGCAUAGACAUAAUGCAAAAUAGACAAUACUUUCAAAAGGUCGCCAAGAAAUGAUAAGUCGAAA